This 253-nucleotide ribosomal RNA is filed under the name uncultured bacterium. RNAcentral describes it as "partial 16S ribosomal RNA". It matches the Rfam family "Bacterial small subunit ribosomal RNA", at positions 524 to 776 of the family's 1533-position model. The record is from RNAcentral.
UACGGGGGGUGCGAGCGUUGUCCGGAAUCACUGGGCGUAAAGGGCGCGUAGGUGGCCUGGUAAGUCUGUGGUGAAAGCCCGGAGCUCAACUCCGGGUCUGCCGCGGAUACUGCGAGGCUUGAGUGCUGUAGAGGGGGGUAGAAUGCCGGGUGUAGCGGUGGAAUGCGUAGAGAUCCGGCAGAAGACCGGUGGCGAAGGCGGCGAUCUGGGUAGAUACUGACGCUGAGGUGCGAAAGCCAGGGGAGCGAACGGG